AUAUUAUCACAGAUAGACAUCUGAAAAACUAAAAUCUUAAACCAAUGCGAUGAUUUCAACUUUCUAAUCGUUGAUUGAGUGCCUGCUUACGAAAUAUUCGAUCCAAUAGAGUUACAAGGAUAAAUGUCUAAAAUAAACACGGCGUAAGUUACAAUCGUAAACUUGUUGACCGAUGCGGUAUGACUGUGUCUUAACCCACUACCGACAUGUUUUCACAGUCUUAGAUCUUUAGAAACUACAAUAGUAGUCUUAUUUGUAGUUUUAUCGAUUGUGUCCUGUUACCAAUUGUGACAUUAGUGCGGAUUUUACAUGGCAAGAGACGCUACAUGCCCACGCACCCUGUUUCCUACCUUACGGAGUUCAUGUGCUACCUUAGUUUGUACCUGGAUUCGUCUUCUUCAUCGAUUAAUUAGAAUUGAACAUCGGUAAAGCAUUAUUGCCUUAACAUUUAUUGUAUGAACUACAUUACCUCAAUGUUUGUCCUUUGAAUUUUGUUCUCUUUAACUCUUUCGAAACCGCAAAUAAUUAAUCUAAGUAUAAAUUAUUAUAGAUUCACAGUGUGCAAUAACAAA
RNAcentral lists this long non-coding RNA (572 nucleotides) under Mytilus galloprovincialis (Mediterranean mussel). Lineage: Eukaryota; Metazoa; Mollusca; Bivalvia; Mytilida; Mytilidae. The record is from RNAcentral.